RNAcentral lists this long non-coding RNA (1609 nucleotides) under Homo sapiens (human). RNAcentral describes it as "non-protein coding lnc-FOXC1-9:6". Lineage: Eukaryota; Metazoa; Chordata; Mammalia; Primates; Hominidae. The record is from RNAcentral.
UGGCUGUCUGCAGCCUUGACCGCCUGGGCUAAAAUGAUCCUCCCACCUCAGCCCACCAAGUACCUGAGACUACAGGGAUGUGCCACCAUUCCUGGCUAUUUUUUUAUUAUUAUUAUUAUUUUUUUUUUUUUUUUGAAGAGAUGAGGGUCUUGCUGUGCAUGCCUUCCCAACAAUCCCCCAAAGUCUUAAUUCAUUCCAGCAUUAACCCAAAAGUCCAACCAUUCUAAAUGGGAGAAAUUGGCCAAAACAAAGGGGACACAGGUCCCAUUCAAGUCUGAAAUCAGCUGGGUGGUCAUUAAGCCUUAAUGUUAACCACUGCACCUGGUCAGUAUUUAAAAAUAUAUAUGUAUAUAUUUUGCUGUAUUGUUAUUCCACUGGAUCUAUAUGAAAAACAGCGACCUCCCAAACAUCAAACUCAGUGGCUCGUUGAGUCAUUCCAUAGCAUUUCCCUUUGUGACUGCCCAUUCUGUAAACCUGCCUCUCUUUCUUCCAUGCAAGGAACUUCACGUUUCCCUCUGGCACAGACCUCUCUCCCAAGUUCCAAACGUCCACUGGAUUUUACCCUGGCAUUUAUUCUUGGUUUCUUAGGGAUCCAAAUACAAAGAGUUAACACAUUUUCCAAAAAUUCUUAUAAGUCUGAAAAGACACAGGCCAGCCUUUGCUCAUUCAGUGUAUACUGAGCUCAUCCUAUGUGCUUGUUACUGAAUUUCUUCAAUCGGAAUUUAAUUAGGCACCCUUUUGUUGAGUACAUGGAAUUGUGUGGAACUAAAGGAACACAGGCAUAUAUAUUUGUGUCUGCAAGCACACACUCUAACAUUAUUUGCUGUUUCGCAUGUGUAAUCUCUCUACCCAUUAAAGCUCCACAUGACAGAUGAGGGGAAGAUGAGAAACUGGUGGAUGGGUUUCAGCAAAUCAAGCACCCCACGGUCCCAUGUACUGAUUUUCAAAGCUGAAUUUUAACAUAAUUUAAGCCAACAAAACAAACUUGGCACAAAGCAAGAUACUGAGACCUCUGAAUAAAAGCAACUUUCUAAAAAUAUUUAAAAAGAAGUUUUGUUUAAGAAAUCCCAAACCAAUACCUACCUUGGGCCAAUACAGUAUUGAAACAAGGGAAGUGACAGGACAGGAACCCUUCUAGAAAUGUUCCACCUUUGAAGGUAUCAUCUCACUAACAUAGGUGAACUCUCUGUUUUAUGACAUGGUGUAUUUCUUUUCCCAGGCAAAUAAUUUCCUAAAGCAACCAUCAGUGACACAUUUAAUGUUACGAAGUCAGUCGGACACAGAGCAAGCAUGAAAGCCUGCUUCCAUGGGAGGCAGGUGAGCCUCCUGAGCUGGUACACAUUUUACAAAAGCACAGAAUUUUAAGGGAAUAUAGGGUUAUAAACAUAAGUUGCAUGUCCAUAUAAAAGAGACAAUAACUGGCCAAUAAAUGAACUAUACAGUUCUCCCCUCUUAUCUGUGGGAGAUGUUCCAAAGUCCCCGGUGGAUACCUGAAAUUGCAAAUACCAAACCGUACACACACGAUGUUUUUUCCCAUGCAUACAUAUCCACGAUAAAUCGUUUAAAAAUUAGACACAGUAAGAGCUUAACAACAAGAACUAAUAAUAGA